RNAcentral lists this ribosomal RNA (282 nucleotides) under uncultured fungus. Its description in RNAcentral is "partial 18S ribosomal RNA". It matches the Rfam family "Eukaryotic small subunit ribosomal RNA", at positions 1359 to 1653 of the family's 1831-position model. Lineage: Eukaryota; Fungi. The record is from RNAcentral.
CCGGUACGACAUUUUGUUGUACAUUGGCUUCUUAGAGGGACUAUUGAUGUUUAAUCAAUGGAAGUUUGAGGCAAUAACAGGUCUGUGAUGCCCUCCAGAUGUUCUGGGCCGCACGCGCGCUACACUGACAGAGGCAGCGAGUAUUAUAUUCCUUAUUCGAAAGAAUUGGGUAAUCUUGUUAAACUCUGUCGUGCUGGGGAUAGAGCAUUGCAAUUAUUGCUCUUCAACGAGGAAUUCUUAGUAAGCGCAAGUCAUCAGCUUGCGUUGAUUACGUCCCCUGCU